Molecule: ribosomal RNA, 421 nt
Filed under: uncultured bacterium
Lineage: Bacteria
Description: bacterial SSU rRNA
Rfam family: Bacterial small subunit ribosomal RNA
Source: RNAcentral
UGGGGAAUCUUGCACAAUGGGGGAAACCCUGAUGCAGCCAUGCCGCGUGGAGGAAGACACCCCUAUGGGGCGUAAACUCCUUUUCCGAGAGAAGAAGCACCUGUAGGUUCAGGGUGUGACGGUAUCUCAGGAAUAAGCACCGGCUAACUCCGUGCCAGCAGCCGCGGUAAUACGGCGGGUGCAAGCGUUGUCCGGAAUCACUGGGCGUAAAGGGUGCGCAGGCGGGGCAGCAAGUCGGAGGUGAAAGCCCGUGGCUCAACCAUGGAAGUGCCGUCGAUACUGUUGCUCUUGAGUCCCGGAGAGGUUGUCGGAAUUCGUGGUGUAGCGGUGAAAUGCGUAGAUAUCACGAGGAACACCAGAGGCGAAAGCGGACAACUGGACGGGUACUGACGCUCAGGCACGAAAGCGUGGGGAGCAAACA